Molecule: ribosomal RNA, 495 nt
Filed under: uncultured bacterium
Lineage: Bacteria
Description: partial 16S ribosomal RNA
Rfam family: Bacterial small subunit ribosomal RNA
Source: RNAcentral
ACGAACGCUGGCGGCGUGCCUAAUACAUGCAAGUUGAGCGCUGAAGGUUGGUACUUGUACCAACUGGAUGAGCAGCGAACGGGUGAGUAACGCGUGGGGAAUCUGCCUUUGAGCGGGGGACAACAUUUGGAAACGAAUGCUAAUACCGCAUAAAAACUUUAAACACAAGUGUUAAGUUUGAAAGAUGCAAUUGCAUCACUCAAAGAUGAUCCCGCGUUGUAUUAGCUAGUUGGUGAGGUAAAGGCUCACCAAGGCGAUGAUACAUAGCCGACCUGAGAGGGUGAUCGGCCACAUUGGGACUGAGACACGGCCCAAACUCCUACGGGAGGCAGCAGUAGGGAAUCUUCGGCAAUGGACGAAAGUCUGACCGAGCAACGCCGCGUGAGUGAAGAAGGUUUUCGGAUCGUAAAACUCUGUUGGUAGAGAAGAACGUUGGUGAGAGUGGAAAGCUCAUCAAGUGACGGUAACUACCCAGAAAGGGACGGCUAACUACGU